GCUGCUCACAGGAUGCUGCUCUCAGGGAUGCUGCUCUCAGGGGUGCUGCUCACAGGGAUGCUGCUCACAGGGAUGGUGCUCUCAGGGAUGCUGCUCACAGGAUGCUGCUCUCAGGGGUGCUGCUCUCAGGAUGGUGCUCUCAGGGAUGCUGCUCUCAGGGAUGCUGCUCACAGGAUGCUGCUCUCAGGGAUGCUGCUCUCAGGGGUGCUGCUCACAGGGAUGCUGCUCACAGGGAUGGUGCUCUCAGGGAUGCUGCUCACAGGGAUGCUGCUCACAGGGAUGCUGCUCACAGGGAUGGUGCUCACAGGGGUGCUGCUCUCAGGGAUGCUGCUCACAGGGAUGGUGCUCUCAGGGAUGCUGCUCACAGGGAUGCUGCUCUCAGGGAUGCUGCUCACAGGGAUGC
Molecule: long non-coding RNA, 403 nt
Filed under: Rattus norvegicus (Norway rat)
Lineage: Eukaryota; Metazoa; Chordata; Mammalia; Rodentia; Muridae
Description: long non-coding RNA NONRATT029331
Source: RNAcentral